Molecule: ribosomal RNA, 250 nt
Filed under: uncultured bacterium
Lineage: Bacteria
Description: partial 16S ribosomal RNA
Rfam family: Bacterial small subunit ribosomal RNA
Source: RNAcentral
UACGUAGGGUGCGAGCGUUAAUCGGAAUUACUGGGCGUACAGCGUGCGCAGGCGGUUUGUUAAGUCUGAUGUGAAAGCCCCGGGCUCAACCUGGGAAUGGCAUUGGAAACUGGCAAGCUCGAGUGCGGCAGAGGGGGGUGGAAUUCCGCGUGUAGCAGUGAAAUGCGUAGAGAUGCGGAGGAACACCGAUGGCGAAGGCAGCCCCCUGGGCCGACACUGACGCUCAGGCACGAAAGCGUGGGGAGCAAAC